RNAcentral lists this small RNA (4051 nucleotides) under Histoplasma capsulatum var. duboisii H88. Its description in RNAcentral is "Histoplasma capsulatum H88 hypothetical RNA". The record is from RNAcentral. Lineage: Eukaryota; Fungi; Ascomycota; Eurotiomycetes; Onygenales; Ajellomycetaceae.
GCAGUCCAUGUUUAGUGUGUGAAGGGCUGAGCAUAAACCAUGUUCAACUGGAACCCGGAAAAGUAAUGGGCCCAGUGGAAUCUCAUGAAAUGAGUCAGAUGGCCUCCUCGCGCUUGUAUGCAUACGAUAUCCCCUCUUUUUGAUAUAAAACUGCUGAUGAAAGCCUAAGAGCUUGAACAAGUGUUUGAUUUUUGCUCCGACUCAUUUUCCUCUACAUUUUCUCCAUCCUUUUCUUUUUGUUUUUGCCUCCUGCCCUACCGCGAUCCUCCAAUGCAGUUGAAUACACACCAGCAUCAGCUCUAUUUGUUGUUGUAGAGCUAAUUUUUUUUAUGACUCCAUGACUCUAUGGUCCUCGAUAUAUCCCAAUUCAUGCCUCUGAUAUACCAGCUACGUCUCUAAGGGAACAGGUCAGGCUCACCUCCUUACAUGGAGCCUGUGGAGGAUAUUCAAUGUGGUGCUCGCCGAGCAUUGGCUGCAGUGGUUGGUUAUGAGGGACGACGGUGUCGAACGCAUUUUGUUCCUUGGACGAAGCACCCCCUGGAUGGGAGUAUAUUCUUUCCUUUUUGUACUCAGGAGGUAUAGCCGAUGACCUUCUCGCCAUCUGGGCGCGAGGAUCAGAAUAUUCGGUAGGACAUACCGGAUGAAAUGGGUUGGGUCAUUUCUUUGCGGUCAGGGAUGGAAAUUCAGUCAUGGUAUGAGAUAUAUACUGAAAGAGAACUAAAAAGCUGACUGAACUGGAAAGUGCGGGGGAGGGAGAGAGAGAAUGGAAUAAAAUAAGGGGGGGGGGGGAAUAUACAUGAGUAUAUGAGGAAACUGAAAAUGACGAUGUCCCUGUGGGCAUAUUUCGUGGAAAGACAUGUCAUACUAACCGAGACACAUAAUGGCGUUUUGCCUACAUUAAUGAUAUAAGAACAGACAUGCUGAGGCUUCCCUCCAUGAUUCCCUCCGUUAUCCACUUAUGCAAUCCAGUACCAUAUCUUCUCGAUAAGGUUUCGGGGGUUAUCUGCGGGCCACUCGACAGCAUCAAGAGCAGCUUUUCCCGACCAAAUAUCGGCCUCUGCGGGAUCGAUGAACUUGGUCCUUUUAAAGAUUCUCCAGAACAAAUAUAGUCCGAAAUAGAUUGGGACGCCAAUGUAUGCGGUGAAAAAGCCCUGGAACUUGAACUUGGGGGCAAAGGAGUCGAAGCCGUUGAAAACUAUGAUUAUGGAGAAGAAGACGAGCGCAAAGUAUGCGGGAUAUGGUUGGAAGGGGGCUCGGAAAACCAUUGUAUUGCGGUCGACUCCCUGUGCAUUGAUUGCAUGGUGGAAUUUAAUGCAGGCAAUACAGAUGGAAACCCAGGUGAACAACGAGGCGAUGGUGGUCAGGUUCUGGAACCAGAUGAAAACCGUGUUGGCGCCGGCGCUGGUGGACAUGAAUGUGAGGAGCCCGACGGAUCCCGUGAUUAAAACACAGUAAAUCGGCACACCCCUAGGUGAUGAAAGAAUCAGUCAGAAAACCCUGACAACAAACUUACGGAUGUUCAAAUGUUUACUCACAGUUUGGUGCAUUUCAAAAGGAACCUCGGUGCUUGGCCGUUCUGGGCUAGGGCAUACAGAUAGCGACUACCAGUAUACAAGAAUGCAUUACCCGAGGAAGAAGCGGAGGUCAAAAUGACGGCGUUGAUGAUGGAAGGGAGAACCGGAAUGCCCGCACGUUGGACGGCGAUAACCCAUGGGGAGGCUGCACCAGUGCUCGAUUUGGAUGAAUUUUGAGCAUUCAGCAGCAUUUUAUCGUCGUAAGGCACCAACAUUCCAAUGGCGAGAGAUCCCAGCACAUAAAAGGUAAUGAUACGCCAAAAUACUCUUCGUAUAGCCUUGGGGAUGUUUCGUCGCGGGUUUGCUGCCUCACCAGCUGCAGAAGCAACCAUUUCUACACCACCAAAUGAGAAUGCAGCAUUCACAAGCGUCGAGAAAAACCCAAGGAAUCGCCCUUCAGCGCCGGUAGAGACAUACUCUCUCAUCGCACCAGGAUUCUUCCAGUAACGGAAGCCUCGACGGUCAUGGUCCGGACCACCGCCGAGAUCAAUAAUAAGAGACAGGAUGAGAAGGCCGACAAUGGUGACAAUCUUGACACUGGCGAAUAUGAACUCUGCCUCACCAUAGAUAGCUACGGCGAAGACAUUCAGGAACAUGAUAAGAACCCAAAUUAAAGCGAUCCAUGCUCCGACAUUAAUGCCCUCUGCACCUGGCCAGUAUUCAAUUAGGAGGGCAGCGGCAGCAAUUUCGACACAAAUAGUGAUUGCGCAUUGGUACCAAGUGUUCCAGCCGACAGCGAAUCCCAUGGCUUCAUCAACGUAACGUCCGCAGAAGUGAGGAAUCGCGCCAGGAAGUGGAAGCCAAGUUGCCAUUUCACCAAGACACAUCAUCAUUCCGAAGAUCGCAACACCGGUGAGGGAGUAGCCAAGCAGAAUACUCAGCGGGCCACCUUGGGUGUGGGCGCGACCAAUACCCAAAAAGAGACCCGUGCCGAUAGAUCCUCCCAGAGCAAUAAAUUGGAUGUGUCGAGAUUUCAGACUGUUAGGUUUGUCAGUAGUUUGUUCCAGGAAUACUGGUCCCGUACGAUGAACUCUCAAGUGAGAGAAACUUACCCACGAGUAACAUAACCAUAGCGUUCGGCAGUCUCAGCAUCGCCAUAGAGGCCAGCGGCUUCGUUGAACUGCAGUUGCUUGGAGUCGACUUCCUUCGUGACAUCGUCAUAAGAAGGAGCUCCUCCAGUUACCUCCGCCUUCGACAUGGCGGGCAGCUAUUGCGAGUAAAAUCACCCAGUGCAACAAAAGGGGGUGUUGCGAUGGUCUGACGGUUAGCUUGGAGACGUUUCACAAUCGCCAGUCUCGGGACCGUUUGCGUUUGGCUUUCUGGGGGCAGAGGUCUUAAUAAGGGAAGAAGCGAGGGAUCACCACCAGUUCAGAAGAGAGAGAAAAAUAGGGAGAUGGGAGAGUUCAAAUAAGCCACCGCCGAGACUGCGGAAGGGAUGGUUUCUUUGGUACCCACACCAACCCUCCAGAGGUGUGCUGGAAAUAAGACGACACCGCAGUUGACCUUGAGCCCUGCGCAAUUACCGCUCUGAUCGUUGCGGGACCAUUAAACGUGUCGCAUUUACCCUUGCUCCCUCAAACCUAAUUGGAUCAUUUCCGUUUUUGGUUACUUGCCACGGCUCAACAAUGAUACGCGCAGAUCGUCACACACUCGCAUUUGAAACACGAUAGACGACAAGUCCAGUAUUUGGGGUGAAUGGAAACAAGUGAGCAUUCCCGGCAGGACUGGGCACUUUUUCUCGCCUUGCUUUCCAGUUGAGCAAUUAUCGUUGCCAUGGCCAAAAUUCCAAAUUAUUAUGAUUUAUUUUCUUUCUGUUCCUUGAUUCCAGUUGCUGGAGUUCGGAUUUGGCAGAUCUCGUUUCUUUGCUUUUUCUCCGAGUGGUCAAGCGGACAGCACGUCUAUUAGCUUUGCUCGGUAAAAAGGGCAGGUAGUCAGAACUCUGAGCGCAGGAAUGUAACAUCCAUACUUCAAGCCCCCUGUAUUUCGGCUCUGUGUCAGGGAGCGAAUUUCUGAAAGCUUGGGCCCUUGGACUCCAUUGCUACCUUUCAGCCUGUAUGCCCAAGUACGGCUGACGAAUGAGGAUUAUGGUUAGAUGGGGACGAUAUUUCCAAGGAUGCAUGCAAUAUUGCACACACCAACGCUCGCACAUUGGACUAGAUAUGAUCGGCUGGGGUUGUCAGAACUAGAACGAAGCACUGAUUGCGGGAAAUUUUUCGACAAAAGGAAGGUCCCUCUUCCUAACCGAUAACGGAUAGAUGGAUGAGCGGCUUGACAGGACAUCGCGCAAGGGUGUCUGGAUGUCUCAAUCACAAGCUCAUUUUUCUAGAAGCCAGCAAAACUGUGUUUCCUGUGUCCUGCUCGCCACGAGCAUCACCUGCUGCAGAUACUGUGCUUCUUGCCACUGUGAUUGUAGACCUACGUUUUUGAUCCUGAAGUUGAGCGCGCGGUGUGGCGGCGCUCUUGGCAAUCGAGCUAAA